UACGUAGGUCCCGAGCGUUGUCCGGAUUUAUUGGGCGUAAAGCGAGCGCAGGCGGUUUGAUAAGUCAGAAGUAAAAGGCUGUGGCUCAACCAUAGUACGCUUUUGAAACUGUCAAACUUGAGUGCAGAAGGGGGGAGUGGAAUUCCAUGUGUAGCGGUGAAAUGCGUAGAUAUAUGGAGGAACACCGGUGGCGAAAGCGGCUCACUGGUCUGUAACUGACGCUGAGGCUCGAAAGCGUGGGGAGCGAACAGG
Molecule: ribosomal RNA, 252 nt
Filed under: uncultured bacterium
Lineage: Bacteria
Description: partial 16S ribosomal RNA
Rfam family: Bacterial small subunit ribosomal RNA
Source: RNAcentral